Mytilus californianus (California mussel) is the source of this 867-nucleotide long non-coding RNA. RefSeq lists it as uncharacterized. The record is from RefSeq and is a predicted model, not a curated record. Lineage: Eukaryota; Metazoa; Mollusca; Bivalvia; Mytilida; Mytilidae. The transcript has 2 exons.
AUUUAGGCAUUGAAGUAACUUUAUCAGUCGUGAAUACAAUUGAAGUUGAUAUCGAAUGUUUAUUAUUUGAAAAUGUAUUUCAAGCGAAAUUUUAGACGAUUUAUGAUUAGUUUUACGGAACAUUGUUCUUAAGUGUAGUUCAUAUAUCUAAACGCAAGUAAAUAGAUUUGAAGUGUACGAAAAGUUGACUAUAAAUAUGACGUCCUCUGAACUUUUAGAAAUAGUUUGGUCUGAUGAAAGUUUGAAUUAUGUUUCACCGGAUCAUGAUCACUUAUCUUUCUACGAAAGUCCUGCUCCAAGUCCAUAUAUUUCACACCAUUAUGGAACUAUGUCAUCAUAUUUCAAACAACCUUAUAUGGACCAUCACUUUCCAGAACUAAGCAAACCAUACCAGAAUAUGUGGAAGCUUGUUAGCAAACGUGAACUAUCGCACAUCAUUACGAGACUGAGGAGAAGUACACUUUCUUCUCGUUCCAGACAGAAAAGACCACACAGUGAACAUAUUGGUGACUACGUCAAACAAGAGGACCAACGCAAAUUAUGUAUGACUCCAAACGGCCCGAAAGAAUUCCGAAGCUUUCGCUGAGAUUUUAAUGUUUAGCGUCGGUGCUUAUAAAUAUUUGCAAUAACAAUUAAUUUCAAUUAUUCAAACAUUUGUGUUUGCCUGUGAUUUUAUGGAAAGAAAUAAAUCAUUCAUUGUAUUUAUAAACAGAAGUAUCAUCAUUUCCAUGAGUGCAAUGUUUUCCCCAAGCAUAUAUAUGUAGCAGUUGUAUAGUUCGUUUCAUACUAGUCCAUACAAGGUAUCAUUAACUGUGUUACAUUGUAAAACUGCAGAUUUCGUAUCAUUUAAAAAAUAAAACAAGGAGU